CAGAAGCCAGGGGAAGAAGCCUCCAGGGAGGAAUUGCCCAGAGAUGCUGCGGCUGCCUGAUAUGCUGCACUUAAGGCUAAUGGGGCUCCAGGAGCUCACCAGCUUUGUGACCUCUGAUGUUUCCUCAUCUCGUUCUCUACUGAUCAGAGCCAUUGGUGAUUAGAUGCUCAGCAGAGGUGUUUGUGCAGCCUUUGACACAUUGAAUCCCCUGCUGCCUGGAUUUCAAAAAGCUUUACUAAGGAACUGAUCCUACCAUGCAUUUUGCUUAAGCAAGGACUGCAGGUCUAUCCUAAAUGGCUAGCAGCAAUGGCGAAGCCAGAUGAGCCAAAUGCACAUGGAGCCAAAUCCACAUGGAGUCGACACACUGGUGAAAGGCAUGGAAAAUUACAGCAGUCCUCUAUCACAGUGGUAUUUCACAUGAACAAUUCCUUGGAUAAGAUCACAAAUUUACAUAUUCUUGUAUUUGGUUCUAUAAUAUUACUCAGCAAAAUUCCAAGCUGGGAGGUUUCAAAGAUGGGCUGUGAUGUGGUUGAAUACGCUUUGACAAACCAUUAAAUCAAUCCCUCUGUUUGGACUGGAAUCCCUUGGAAUUUAAGAAGAAGUUUUAUAUUUAUAGGAAGUUAUUGGCCCUCUCUUGCUAUCUUGUCACAACAAAGGAAAUGUAAAGAAGAGCAACUUUGAAAUCUAUAUAAUUAAUAUUAAAGGGAUGCUCUCACAGCUGACAGAUAGUGACUUUACUCACAGCAUUCUAAUUCUGCUAUGUAAAAAUGUUCUUACUCAACAGAUCUGCUGCUUUUGUGCAUCCCAAGUCAUCAUAUUUGCUGACUUCAGUCACAGAAAGAAGUUUUAAGUUACUUUUUUAUUUCCAUCAGUGCUGCAGAGCCUGUAUAGCCCUGACAAUGUAAGAUGGCUCUGGAAGACUUGGGGCUUGCAUCAAAUUUCUCCAGAGUUACCUUAAUGCAACCACACAAGACACUGGAAGUUCUACAAGUGUUCAAUUAUUGGGGGCAGCAUUUGGCCUGCUGAGUAGCCAGGGAGAAGCCAACUUGGUCAGUUGGCAUCUGUAGUGGGUCUGGUACAGUUCAAUGUCUUGAGGAAAGCAAAUGACUGAAUACUUAGUACAUUUGCAGAAGUCACCAAACUGGCUGGGAUAGCAAACACUUUACAGACCAGGAUUAGAAUUCAAAAUUACCUUGUUAAUUUGGAGCAAUGGUUUGAAAUCAAUCGGAAUAAAUUCAGUAAAGAAAGAUGCAAAGAAUAGGAUUUAGGACAGAGCAAUCAAAUGAAAAAAAUAGCAAUGGGGUAACAACUGACCAGUCUGAAGUAUUGCAGAAAAGGAAGAAGGGUCAUAUUGAGCCAUAAACUAAAAAUGAGUCAACAGUGUGCUCUUCUUGCAAAGAGUCAAUGGCAUCUUGUGUUGGAUUAAUAGUAGCGUCAUAUGCAAACCACAGGCAGUGACUCAGCCUCUCUACUCAGUACUGGUGAGGCCUCACUUAAAGUACUGUGUCCAGUUUGGGGCACCACUGCUGGAUUCUUUCUAAUUUGUCUUCCCUGAAGCAAUUUUCAUCUGAAUCAGGCAAGAAAUGACAAAGCAGGCAUUUUCAUGAUUCCCUGUUAUGGCCUAUAGGCGAAACAUUGAAACAGCGAAAUAGUUUUGAUGAAACUGGUGUUUUGAUAGUGUUUUACACAACCCUACUAAUUAGGCAUCUCACUGAGAUGCACCCAGAGUGAAGGUUGUUUAGGUGGUGAUAAUGCUUCCUGGCUUUGGGUCCAAGCUAUUUAAAAUCAUAAUGUUAAUGCAGGCUUUUUUGAUUGCUCCAGUUUUUGUCUUCAAUUUUAAUAUUCACUUAAGUUUUGUUGGGUUCUUGUUUUUUUGCCUCCCUUGAAAUCACGGUGCCUAAUUUCAGUCUUAAUUUGGGGUUUUUUUCUGUUUUGCUUGGGAGUUGCUUUGUAUUUUAAACAGAUCUUAUAAGAAGUCCCUUGACCCUUUGAUAUCAAUAAUGAUUUAAAAAAAAUAUGUAUUGGUGGUCUGGCUCAAUCUAUGAUUUUAUGAUGUGGUAUUUAAUCAAUAAGGUCAAGUCAGUUAAGAAAGCACAAUGGGGCUAGCAUUACCAUGAGGAAGCUGAUGUGUGUCUAAGCGGCUUACAGCUGCUAGGAUCCUAAGAUGUCUGCAACAGAGUUGUUUUGUGAGCAUGCUGGGGUUUGGAAGCUCCCUUGAGGAUUGAAGGUUAACCCAAAUUCUUGGAGGGAACUCAUUAUGAUUAUCAGAGUAAGGCUUUCAAAUAUGGUGCACAUGCAAGGUAAAGACACAGGAAUCAAAACGUAAAGGAAGAAGAACUCAAAUGUACUCCUGAAAAGAAAUGCAUUUGGGUAGUAUGUGGGAGCUGUCUUGUGACUUCUGAAUGUUUGGGGUGGGCAGCAGUGGGGUUCAUAUGGAUUGGAGGGUGGUGCAGCUAGUAAAUGAUGUCCUGAUCCUGCAAGCAACUUCAAGCAGGUGCACAGGUGCACCCAAGUGGAGUCCAUUGUGAAAUUAGCACCCACCAUCACACACAAUCAUAAAACAGAUUUAAAUUACACUUUUUAUUUAUUAAUUUAUUUUUUUUUUUACUCCAUGUGUACUAUGCUGAGUGGAACUGGGGAAAGUGGAGUUGGAUUGCAGGAGGGAUCCCACUUGCACUGUGAUAGCUAGUGCUGAGGAAAGAAAUCUGAGCCACAAAAUGGCAGCGUCUCAACACCUGGCCUCUCAGCAUGAUUAAUCAAGUUCUGCUUCCUGCAGCUCUGCCUAUGGCAUUGCUUAUUGCUAAUGAAACAUGAUGGCAGCAGUAAUCUGUAAGAAGCUCUGGUAUGUGGCACCCAAGAGUCUGAAACACUGUUAAGUAAGGAAACUUAAAAAAAAAAAAUAACUAAACAAAGCGAACUGUUGGGAAGUGCCAUAGUGUUUGAGUUGCUUUAAAAAAGUGCUCUGCAACCUUGUUUAUUCCCUGUGCAAUUGCAUAGGUUAUGAACCUUUUCUGGCCUCCUGGAUCCCAGCUUUCAUCUUGACCAUUAGAGAGAAAUGUUCACUCUUAUAGAACGUGUAUGCAGCAAUAUUAGGCCGCAGGAGGGUGAUUUAAAGGAUAGAGUGAGAACCUUAACUCGGGAUUUCUUUGCUCUUGUCAGCCUGUCACUACCUUUAAGUUAUUUUUAUGUCAUUUUUAUGUACUUUAUUACGAGCAAUAGCAUUCAGUUUAAUGUAGGGUGACCAGAUGCCCCAGCUUGACUUGAACAGUCUUGAUUCUUAAUUAAAUGUCCUCUAUGUGUCCUCUCUUUUCCUUGCUCGUUUCUCAAAGCCAAGGAAUUUAAUGCAGUUUUCACUUUCCUCUUAUUAGCAAACAUUGGUUCAUAUCUGAUUUUAUAGUUUUAUUAUACAGUCAGCUGUACAAUUUAAAAUUACAUUAUCAAGCUUCCUUAAAUAGUGUGGCUUUCAAUAUGCACUCCCUUUUUCAGAAGUGUAUCUCUAAUGCUUGUGUUAUUACACAGCAAUAAUAUACAACUUUAUAUUUUAUAAUCAUUAACUGUAAAAUAUAAGACAGUAAAAGUUUGUAAUUUACAAGGCUAUAAACAGCAUCCAUGUAUCUUAUUGGUUUAAAAAAAUGUAUUGGUUCAGUUUCACAUGCAUAUAUCAUUUUGAGAUGGAAUCUAUUAGAUUCUGAAUAUGUACAACAUAUUGGUUCCAUUAACACACGACAUUGUCACGUCUUUGAGUGAGAACAUUUAAAAAAAAAAAAAAAAAAAGCAUGGACUCUGUUAACUGCAACAGAUGUUUUCUAAAUAUGCCAAAUCAGAGAAGCUCAGCAGUCAUGAAAUGGCACUAGAAACAGGCCAAAAUCCUGCAAAUAAGUAUUGUUGUGCUUACUUUGUGCAUAUAGAAUAGUCUUGUUGAUUUUAAUGGGUCUGUACAUGUAGCUAAUAUUAGGUAUAUGUCCCAGAGUGGGCCAUAAAGCACUCCUGGUAAUAAAUUGGAUUGCUAACAUGCACAGGUCAUAUUUGUUCAUAUCUUGAACUUGCAUAGUGAACAUAGAUCAUUCUAAACCCUUAACCAUACUGAAGUUCAGUGCACAUAGGUUGCUUGUACCAUUUUUAGACUGAUCUAAGAUAGACCUCAUGUAAGGUACUCUCAAUUGAGAUUGAAUCAGGUUAGCUUAAUAUAUCAAACUUCUGUACUGUUCCCCUCUUCCCUUAAUUAGAUCACUGUCCUCUGGCACCUCAACCUGCUUUGUGGUGUCCCUACCACCCUCACAGGGAGCUGUACUAGCACUCAGCCUGUGCUUGCUAUUCAGCUG
Molecule: long non-coding RNA, 4322 nt
Organism: Alligator mississippiensis (American alligator)
Lineage: Eukaryota; Metazoa; Chordata; Crocodylia; Alligatoridae
Exons: 4
Source: RefSeq, a predicted model, not a curated record